RNAcentral lists this ribosomal RNA (330 nucleotides) under uncultured bacterium. RNAcentral describes it as "bacterial SSU rRNA". It matches the Rfam family "Bacterial small subunit ribosomal RNA", at positions 568 to 898 of the family's 1533-position model. The record is from RNAcentral.
UUCGUAGGCGGUGCGGCAAGUUGGGAGUGAAAUCUCUGGGCUUAACCCAGAGGCUGCUUCCAAAACUGCUGUGCUUGAGUGUGAGAGAGGCUCGUGGAAUUGCAGGUGUAGCGGUGAAAUGCGUAGAUAUCUGCAGGAACACCCGUGGCGAAAGCGGCGAGCUGGAUCACUACUGACGCUGAGGAACGAAAGCUAGGGGAGCAAACAGGAUUAGAUACCCUGGUAGUCCUAGCCCUAAACGAUCAGGACUUGGGGUGCCGCCCGUUCGGGCGUCGUCCCGGAGCUAACGCGUUAAGUCCUGCACCUGGGGAGUACGGUCGCAAGACUGAA